Molecule: ribosomal RNA, 253 nt
Filed under: uncultured bacterium
Lineage: Bacteria
Description: partial 16S ribosomal RNA
Rfam family: Bacterial small subunit ribosomal RNA
Source: RNAcentral
UACGGGGGGAGCGAGCGUUGUUCGGAUUUACUGGGCGUAAAGGGCGCGUAGGCGGCGUGACAAGUCACUUGUGAAAUCUCCGGGCUUAACUCGGAACGGUCAAGUGAUACUGUCGUGCUAGAGUACAGAAGGGGCAACUGGAAUUCUCGGUGUAGCGGUGAAAUGCGUAGAUAUCGAGAGGAACACCUGCGGCGAAGGCGGGUUUGCUGGGCUGAUACUGACGCUGAGGCGCGAAAGCCAGGGAGCGAACGGG